AUCCCAGCCCUCUUACUUAAUUUUUUUUGCAACACAGGGUCUCACUGUGUUGCCCAGGGUGGAGUGCAGUGGCCCAAUCAUGGCUCACCACAGCCUUGACUUCCCAGGCUCAAGCCAUCCUCCCAUCUCAGCCUCCCGAGUAGCUGGGACCACAGAUGGCAUGUGCCACCACGCUUGGCUAGUUGUUUUUUAUUUUUGGUAGAUACAGGGUCUCGUCAUGAUGCCCAGGCUGGUCUCGAACACCUGAGCUGAAGUGAUCCAUCCACCUCAGCCUCCCAAAGUGCUGGAAUUACAGGCGUGAGCCACUGCACCAAGCUAUUUAUUUGACUUUGAACAAACAAUUUCCCAUCUCUGAACUUAUCAGUUUCCUCAUCAAGACAAGGUCUCACUAUAUGGCCCAGGCUGGUCUCAAACGAUCUUCAUGUCUUGGCCUCCCAAAGUGCUGAGAUUACAGGCAUGAGCCACCAUGCCUGGCCCAGGUUAUUCUUAAUCUCACCUUUUAGAGGUAGAAAGUGGAGAGCCCCGCCCUGUGGGCUUUAAAUCUUGUUCCACUUCAGACACUUUCACAGCUCUGACAUCAUGAAUACUGUAAUCACCCAGCACAGGAGGGACUGCGAUUCCCAGAACUCUGACAUCAACAGCCUGUGAGGACAGCAAGCUGGAUGUGGCUCGCUCUGAACAUCUGCCUCUCCACUCAGGAGACCUAGCUCCUUGCAGAGCCUCAUUCUUCCACGUGUUUCAGGGCGACCCCAGCGGGUAGAUAACAUGCACCCAUAGAUGAGUCCUGGUUGCCACUUGAUUUUGAAAGGAAAAAUAAAAUUGCAUUUAUUUCCAAA
This 836-nucleotide long non-coding RNA is filed under the name Homo sapiens (human). RNAcentral describes it as "HSALNT0354914". The record is from RNAcentral. Lineage: Eukaryota; Metazoa; Chordata; Mammalia; Primates; Hominidae.